Molecule: long non-coding RNA, 3373 nt
Organism: Phasianus colchicus (ring-necked pheasant)
Lineage: Eukaryota; Metazoa; Chordata; Aves; Galliformes; Phasianidae
Source: Ensembl
AAGGAAGCCAAUUGAAGCAUGCGGUUUGUUUUCAACAAGGGCAUCCUCUCAGCUCUACUGAGGUGUGGACUAAACCUUGAGCAAGAUUGCAGGUUGAGAAAAUCAGCAGUCUUUCCCCAUCCGUGGUAUGUAAUAAUACAUUAGGCUGCAAUAACAUUCACUACCAGGUCUGUUCCGGACAACCCCUGGCAACAUCUCAGAGAAGUACAGCACCGACUUCACACCGGCUGGCUGGACUUUCCUCAUCUGGAAUGUCAUCUAUGCCUGGCAACUGGCGUGGCUCCUGUAUGCGCUGUUGGGGAUCUGCCGGAGAAAUGAACUUGGAUGUGUCUUCAUGAAGCCGGACCUGCUGCCAAUACCUUUUUACAUGGCAUGGAUUCUGAAUAAUGGCCUCAAUGUUGGAUGGCUGUUUCUAUGGGACAGAGAAUACCUACUCCCAGCCCUGCUGUUGUUGGCAGCCCUCACUUUUACCACGGAUGCUGCUCUCUUCAUUUCACACAGAGCCUUGAGUAUCCAUUCCAUGUGGUUCAUGAAGGGCCACCAAGUUGAUCUCUGGCUCAUCCGAAUCCUAGUGCAGAAUGGGCUGGCACUGUAUGCCACAUGGACCACCAUCGCCACUCUGCUGAACUUUGCCGUUGUGUUGAUCUACAAGUGGGAUGUGUCCAAUGAGACAGCAACCACUGCCUCUCUGAGCAUCCUCACCCUCAUGCUUGUCCUGUGGUUUUGUCAGGAGAACUUCUUUCUUGAUAAGUACGUCCGUUAUAACCUCACGAUCUACCCGGUGGUUAUAAUAGCUCUGACUGGCAGCAUGUGCAAGGACUUCUCAGUUUCCUCCCCAACCACCAACGGUGUUUUUAUAGGUGAAUCUCUCAUAAUCUUUGGAACAGUGUGCUUCUGUUUGCAAUUGAGGUUAUUGCCUGUGAGCCUUGGGGUUGAAAUCAAACCUGGUGUUGCUUCCUGUCCGCUUCCCACUGCAAUAAAUUUGCUCUGUGAUCACAUGUUUGUGAUGUCCCAGAGAAACUUGCCAGCCCUGUGAGCUUUUGGUGCUCUGCUGGUAGCUCCCUGCCCCCUGACACAGGGCAGGCAUUCAGAACACAGGUCUGUGAUGAAGUCUGUGGGCUUUGCUUUGUAUUGCUUGUGAUUAUGGAGCAGUGCUUUAAUGUCUGACCCAAGCAGGAGCAAUAUCUGAAUUCCACAAUGCAAAGCCCUGCACGUGCUCCUCUCCUGUGCAGUCUAGGCUAGCACUGACAAGUUUGGCGAGGAUUAUUUUGUUGCUGAGGGCUGCUGUAGCUGAGCUGGAUGUAGUCAUACACUGUAAAAGGGCUUAAGCUGCAUACAUGCUGUACAGGCAACAAUAUGGCAAAAGCUGUGUCAUUAUGAGUAGUUAUAUGCAAGCACGAAAGAGGCAGAGAUGUGCAAACCCUUUCUUGCUGAAGCAGAAGAGAGCGUAUUUUCACCCUUCAGCCCUCCCAGUGCUGCAUACCAGUGGCUGAAGCCAGUUGCUGGGCUUGCACCUCCAGCAUUGCAGCCGCCUUGAUGUGUGUUCCCCUUCUGCUGGAUGGGCAGGGUGUGCAGCUGGGAGUCAGGAUUUGCCUAGGAGCACCCAGCAGGACUAAGCAGAGCUCAUCUGCCAGAGCCACAAGUCCAUUGAAUCCUGCCCUGGUGGUUGUGGCCAUCUGCAAUGUGGAGGUGUGUAAAGUCUGGCAGACAGCUCUGCUCCUGCAGGAGGUGCUUUUCCUGCCUUUAUACCAGCAAACUUUCAUUCUUAGUGGUUCAGCUUGUUUGGCAAGUAGAGCAAGAAUGUGCUUUUCCCAAACUGGUGCCUGUUUCUUUAUAUAGUUCAACUAUUCUUGGACUUGUUUGUUAAUGUCAUGUGUUUUUAUGCCCAUGUCUAUAAGAUUUCCAUGUUUUUUAGACAUGCCUUGACCUGGAAGCAUUGGUGUGUUACUGGUUAUUGGUCAGAGCAGAUUUGCCUUACCCUAUGGCAGCCUCCUGACAUCAUGGGGGUAAUGGCUCCUGGACAGAGGCCUUUAGGUUUGCUUUAGUCCUUUCCCUGCUGUCUGAGAAGCUAGAAAGUGACAAGAAGAACUGUCAUUCUUUUGCAUGCUAACAUAUUUCUUUGUUUCUCUUCUAGUUGUACUGCUGGCACUGACUUGUUUUAUCUUUGCUGUUCGGCUGGCGUUAGUCAUAAGGAAACACAGUAAUGAACUGCUGGAACCACCAACAUCACCACAGCCAUCAAGCACAGUGGCCUGAGACCUGUGGUAUGGUGAUGUUAUGACAGAAGCUUUAAAGGGAGAAUAGAAGCUGAGCAUCCUGCAACCACUGGUGCCUUCCCUCCAGUAACAAUUGCCUUUUUUUUGCCUUUUUUAAUAUAUAUAUUUUUUCUCUUUUUUAAUAUAUCCUGGAUUAGCACAGCUUUUGCCUGCAAACCUGUCCUCCUCCCCUAUUCUCUGAGCUCAGCUAUUUGCAGCUCCACCUCAAACAUGCAGCCUCCUCUGCUCAUUUUGUUUUGGAUCAAUGGAGGAAGAGGUCCUUUAUAUGAGUAGCUCUGUAUACCUUUGUGAUGACAGAACUGUGAGGAGGGCUGUCAACAGAUGCUUGGCACAGAGUUGCCUCUCACCCUUCCCUGCCCACCACAGGUCCCAGGAGAGGAGGGACGGCUGAAUACUUCUGCCACAGCUGCAGGUCUUUAGCCUAUUUCAGGUUGCUCUAACUCUAGAAACUGACAAUGUGCUCAUGUCUCAGCACACAGUAUUAUCUCUGUCCCUCUGCCUUGUUUUUUCUUCUGACUUUCUUGCUGAAGUUUGUACUGUGUUGGUGCCUCCAUCAGUGGCCCCACCCACUCCUCCUUUCAGACAGGGGAGAUCUAGGUGAUGUGAGAGCAGUGGAUUGCUUUUCCUGAGCUGUGCCCAUUCGGUGGCUGCCUCCUCCAGGAGGAUGCUUUGCAGCCCUUCUGCUGGGAUAUCAGCCAUUCUGACACCACAGUACCUAAUGGAGGGCAAACCCUGCUUCAUAGACCACUUCUUGUUUUCUGAGCUGCACAGAGUGAUUUCAUCCUGGAUCAGUGCUUUGUAAUGUGACUUCACCACCGCGGGCUUGCUUUGGGAAGCCUGACUGAGAACUGACUGGAUUGUCAGACCUCUGCCUCUAUUUGCUGUGCCUGAUAGAUUUGAUGAUGCCUUGCUGGUGUCUGGAAAGUCUUCCUGGAUGCCUGGUGCUUGGAAAUGCUGAAUAUCUUGCAGUACUCUCACAAAGGUGAAUUCUAUUAAAAUACAAUGCUAUUGUUUACAUUUAAUGAAGAACAAAGUCUGUAUUUGAUUCUUGUCAUUCUAUCGUUUCUUAUUUUUAAAUAAAGCAGCUACUGCCAACA